UUUUUUGUGCAGUGGUAGAGUCAUAGCUAAUCCGAGGCGUGAUUAUUGCUAGUUGAAAACUUUUCCCAAUACCCUAAGUGACUUGUCCAAGGUCACAUGAUGAGUCACUGGCAGAGCUGAGAAAAGG
Molecule: small nuclear RNA, 127 nt
Filed under: Chelonoidis abingdonii (Abingdon island giant tortoise)
Lineage: Eukaryota; Metazoa; Chordata; Testudines; Testudinidae
Description: U4 spliceosomal RNA (ENSCABG00000013993.1)
Rfam family: U4 spliceosomal RNA
About the family: U4 small nuclear RNA (U4 snRNA) is a component of the major U2-dependent spliceosome. The structure of U4 snRNA from yeast and human has been reported.
Source: RNAcentral